This 25-nucleotide microRNA is filed under the name Bombyx mori (domestic silkworm). RNAcentral describes it as "bmo-miR-3234". Lineage: Eukaryota; Metazoa; Arthropoda; Insecta; Lepidoptera; Bombycidae. The record is from miRBase by way of RNAcentral.
UCAUCGUGCAUGGGAACGGUCAUCU